UUUCGCAAUGCCCGAAAGGGUGACGAAGCGACGCCGCGUGGGUGAGGAAGGCCUUCGGGUUGUAAAGCCCUGUCAGGAGUUAAGAAAUGUAAGUGCGCUAACACCGCAUUUAUUUGACGAAGGCUCCAAAGGAAGUCACGGCUAACUCUGUGCCAGCAGCCGCGGUAAUACAGAGGUGGCAAGCGUUGUUCGGAAUUAUUGGGCGUAAAGAGCACGUAGGUGGGUUUGUAAGUCAGAUGUGAAAGCCUCCUGUUCAACGGGAGAAUUGCAUCUGAAACUACAGAUCUUGAGUGUAGGAGGGGAGAAUGGAACUUCUGGUGGAGCGGUGAAAUGCGUAGAUAUCAGAAGGAACGCCGGCGGCGAAAGCGAUUCUCUGGCCUAUUACUGACACUCAGUGUGCGAAAGCUAGGGUAGCAAACGGGAUUAGAUACCCCGGUAGUCCUAGCCGUAAACGAUGGGCACUAAGUAGAGGGGUUUUA
RNAcentral lists this ribosomal RNA (479 nucleotides) under uncultured anaerobic ammonium-oxidizing bacterium. RNAcentral describes it as "bacterial SSU rRNA". It matches the Rfam family "Bacterial small subunit ribosomal RNA", at positions 364 to 833 of the family's 1533-position model. The record is from RNAcentral.